GGGCGUGGUCAUGGAGAAGAACUGGGCCCUUUCUGUUGACCAGUUCUGGCUGUAGGUGUUGCAGUUUUCUGAGCAUCUCAUUGAUUU
Long non-coding RNA from Cervus elaphus (red deer), 87 nucleotides. RefSeq lists it as uncharacterized. The record is from RefSeq and is a predicted model, not a curated record. Lineage: Eukaryota; Metazoa; Chordata; Mammalia; Artiodactyla; Cervidae. The transcript has 3 exons.